RNAcentral lists this ribosomal RNA (500 nucleotides) under uncultured eukaryote. Its description in RNAcentral is "SSU rRNA". It matches the Rfam family "Eukaryotic small subunit ribosomal RNA", at positions 33 to 537 of the family's 1831-position model. The record is from RNAcentral.
GAAAGCGCUGUCUCAUAUACCCCGCGCGUGUCGUGUAAAUAACUUUAUACUGUGAAACUGCGGAUGGCUCAUUAAAACAAUUAUCGUUUAUUUGAUGGUCUCUUACUACUUGGAUAACCGUAGUAAUUCUAAAGCUAAUACAUGCACAAAAACCCGACUUCUGGAAGGGUUGGAUUUAUUUUAUACAGAACCAACCCACUCCGGUGGUUUUUGGUGAUUCAUAAUAACUUCGCGAAUCGCAUUGCUUUACCCUGGCGAUGAUUCAUUCAAAUUUCUGCCCUACCAACUUUCUAUGGUAGGAGAGAGGCCUACCCUGGUGGUAGCGGGUAACGGAGAAUUAAGGUUCUAUUCCGGAGAGGAGGCUGAUGACGGCUACCACAUCCAUCCAGGGCGGCAGGAGGGCAGAUAACCCAACCCUGACCCACGGAGGUAGUGACGAAAAAUAACAAACAAUAACGAACCUUCCUUGGUUUGGAGUGAGAGCAAAUUAAAUCCCUUCC